UUCAAAUUCAAACUCAUUUUCUUCCCUUUUUAUUAUUCUCUCCUCUUCUUUUUUUCUUUUCUCCACUCUCCAAAUUCAAACGACGUCGCACAACCAUGCAAUCUCCGAUCAAGCUCCGAUCACGAUCUGGCCGUACACCUCUUCAGCCUAUAAACUCCGACAACCACCACUCUUCUCCACUAAACCCCAAACUCUCAAUAUCCUCUCACAAGGACAAGCCUCCAAUUGCUACAGCCACUCUUCCCGAUUCAACCCUAGCGGAGGAGUUGGUAGCGAUAAAGAAAAGAAUAGAGAGGUUGAGAAUUGAUAGAGAGAAAACUGAGAAGCUAUUGAAUGAAAGGGAAAUGAUACUUAAUCAGAAGAUGAAUGAUUUGGAACAAAGAGGAGAGAUUCAGAAAGUGAUGGAGAUACAGGUUGAUCGACUUUUUCGAUUGAAGGAACUUAAGUUCAGAUGCAUGAGAGUUUCUCCGAUGAGAACGCUGAGGGAGAAGGAACAUCAAAAGAUCGUUAACCAAUCGCCUGAACCAUCUAAGGUGACAAGUGGGGAAACUGUGGUGGCAUCUGAAUCAGAAUCUGAAUGCAGAGAGGAAUGUGAAAUUCAGAGUCCAGGCUCAGCUUGUUCAAAAACUGAUACACACAAAUAUUGACAAAAUCUGAUAAUUAAGGUUCUUACAAGUUUUUAUACAUAAUAUCUUGUUAUGAAUUUAUCCCCCUUAAGUUAUUUCUCUGAAAUUCAAAUUGCAGCUUUUGAUAAUUACAACAUUUUUAGGAAUAGAGAAAAUGAGUCAUCACAUUUUAGAUUGCAUAAAGAGUUUCCAAUUCUGUUGUUGUUUCACUCUUUUCUAUGUCUAGUUUCAGCUCUUGCUCAACCAUCACACUGAGUAGAUAUAUAUGAUAUAUGUAUUAAGAAUUCACUUGAAAUUUGUUCUUAAGGCAAUAUUUCAGAUUCAAG
RNAcentral lists this long non-coding RNA (952 nucleotides) under Lupinus mutabilis. RNAcentral describes it as "partial ncRNA". The record is from RNAcentral. Lineage: Eukaryota; Viridiplantae; Streptophyta; Magnoliopsida; Fabales; Fabaceae.